UACGUAGGGGCCGAGCGUUGUCCGGAGUUACUGGGCGUAAAGCGUGCGCAGGCGGCGCGUUCUGCCCGGCGUGAAAGCCCCCGGCUCAACCGGGGAGGGUCGUCGGGGACGGGCGCGCUUGAGGGUAUCAGGGGCUGGUGGAAUUCCCGGUGUAGUGGUGAAAUGCGUAGAGAUUGGGAAGAACACCAGUGGCGAAGGCGAUUCUCUGGACUGUAACUGACGCUGAGGCUCGAAAGCGUGGGGAGCAAACAGGAUUAGAUACCCUGGUAGUCCCUGAGCGGG
Molecule: ribosomal RNA, 282 nt
Filed under: uncultured prokaryote
Description: partial 16S ribosomal RNA
Rfam family: Bacterial small subunit ribosomal RNA
Source: RNAcentral